This 497-nucleotide ribosomal RNA is filed under the name uncultured bacterium. RNAcentral describes it as "partial 16S ribosomal RNA". It matches the Rfam family "Bacterial small subunit ribosomal RNA", at positions 26 to 507 of the family's 1533-position model. The record is from RNAcentral.
GGGGGGGGGGGGGGGGGGGGCGGGGAGGUGCAGGGCGGGCGGGGGGGGGGGGGUGCUUGCGCCUUUCGAGUGGGUGGCGAAGGGGGGGGUAACGCGGGGACAACCUGCCUCAAGGCUGGGGAUAACAUUUGGAAACAGAUUCUAAUACCGAAUAAAACUUAGUGUCGCAUGACACAAAGUUAAAAGGCGCUUCGGCGUCACCUCGAGAUGGAUCCGCGGUGCAUUAGUUAGUUGGUGGGGUAAAGGCCUACCAAGACAAUGAUGCAUAGCCGAGUUGAGAGACUGAUCGGCCACAUUGGGACUGAGACACGGCCCAAACUCCUACGGGAGGCUGCAGUAGGGAAUCUUCCACAAUGGGCGAAAGCCUGAUGGAGCAACGCCGCGUGUGUGAUGAAGGCUUUCGGGUCGUAAAGCACUGUUGUAUGGGAAGAACAGCUAGAAUAGGAAAUGAUUUUAGUUUGACGGUACCAUACCAGAAAGGGACGGCUAAAUACGUG